This 217-nucleotide unclassified non-coding RNA is filed under the name Glomeraceae sp. Its description in RNAcentral is "partial contains 5.8S ribosomal RNA and internal transcribed spacer 2". The stretch from base 1 to 71 matches the Rfam family "5.8S ribosomal RNA", at positions 84 to 154 of the family's 154-position model. Lineage: Eukaryota; Fungi; Glomeromycota; Glomeromycetes; Glomerales; Glomeraceae. The record is from RNAcentral.
GUGAAUCAUCGAAUUUUUGAACGCAAAUUGCACUCCCUGGUAUUCCGUAGAGUAUGCCUGUUCGAGGGUCAGUAUAAUCAAAAUCGGCGCCAUGCCUUUUGGGUGACGUACAGGAGUUCGGGUUAUCUUAACUCUUUUUUUUAUGAGACUUAAAAUUAACAUUAUUUUUUGCCCACUUUUGAGACGUAUAUAACUUUUUUUUCUUUGUUUCAUAAGC